CAUGUGACUAAAAAAGGUGACAAGUUCCUGUCCGAUCUCUAUAUAGAAGGAAUGGGUAAAAUAGAAUAAUUAUGCUUGCGAUGGCUCACAGUUUGUUCGGCGGCGGUAAUCCUUCUCCUCUCCCUUGCUUUUUGUUGUCUCUUCUCCUCCACCUGCUGACACAGCAUCAGUAAAGGCCUACCGACUAAAGUGGGAACAAGAACACAAAAGUUACAGUUUACAAUUGGUAUGUCCCCCAGGCUUUCCGUAGGGGAGAACAGCAAGAAAGGAGGUCCUGAUCUUCUGCAGAGCCUUCGCACUGCAAAACACAGGAAGUGACAGAGGACCAUGACACAAACCAGGUGGCUUCACAGAGGAAACCUCCAUUAAGACACUCGAUCAUCAUGAUCGUACCAAAGCACAGACAUCAUGGGAUGACUCUAUGGGAG
Molecule: long non-coding RNA, 428 nt
Filed under: Salmo salar (Atlantic salmon)
Lineage: Eukaryota; Metazoa; Chordata; Actinopteri; Salmoniformes; Salmonidae
Description: lncRNA (ENSSSAG00000108849.1)
Source: RNAcentral